Molecule: ribosomal RNA, 328 nt
Filed under: uncultured bacterium
Lineage: Bacteria
Description: bacterial SSU rRNA
Rfam family: Bacterial small subunit ribosomal RNA
Source: RNAcentral
CACGUAGGCGGAUCUUUAAGUCAGGGGUGAAAUCCCGAGGCUCAACCUCGGAACUGCCUUUGAUACUGGAGGUCUCGAGUCCGGGAGAGGUGAGUGGAACUGCGAGUGUAGAGGUGAAAUUCGUAGAUAUUCGCAAGAACACCAGUGGCGAAGGCGGCUCACUGGCCCGGUACUGACGCUGAGGUGCGAAAGCGUGGGAGCAAACAGGAUUAGAUACCCUGGUAGUCCACGCCGUAAACGAUGGAUGCUAGCCGUUGGCAGCUUGCUGUUCAGUGGCGCAGCUAACGCUUUAAGCAUCCCGCCUGGGGAUACGGUCGCAAGAUUAAAA